AAGUAAAAGUCGUAACAAGGUUUCCGUAGGUGAACCUGCGGAAGGAUCAUUAUUGAAUGAACUUGGUUGGGUUGUUGCUGGCUCUCUCGGGAGCAUGUGCACGCUUAACACCAAUUUCUUACCACCUGUGCACCUUUUGUAGACUUGGAAAUAACUCUCGAGGCAGCUCGGUUUGUGGAGAUUGCUGUGUGUGAAAGCCAGCUUUCUCCUAAUAUUUCUGGUCUAUGUUUUUCAUAUACCCCUAUAGUAUGUCUGAGAAUGUAAUACAAGGGCUCAUUGCCUUUAAUCCCUAUACAACUUUCAACAACGGAUCUCUUGGCUCUCGCAUCGAUGAAGAACGCAGCGAAAUGCGAUAAGUAAUGUGAAUUGCAGAAUUCAGUGAAUCAUCGAAUCUUUGAACGCACCUUGCGCUCCUUGGUAUUCCGAGGAGCAUGCCUGUUUGAGUGUCAUGAAAUUCUCAAUCUCUUCAGCUUUUGUUGGUUGAAGAGGCUUGGAUUCUUGGGAGUUGCGGGCUUUAUUUUACAAAGUCGGCUCUCCUUAAAUGCAUUAGCGGAACCUUUGUGGACCAGCUUUGGUGUGAUAAUUAUCUACGCCAUGGCAUGUGAAACAUAAUUUAAUAGGGUUCAGCUCCUAAUAGUCUCCUGUAGACAAUCUUCUUGACUAUUUGACCUCAAAUCAGGUAGGACUACCCGCUGAACUUAAGCAUAU
RNAcentral lists this ribosomal RNA (708 nucleotides) under Porpoloma sp. MEL 2320463. Its description in RNAcentral is "eukaryotic LSU rRNA". The stretch from base 296 to 449 matches the Rfam family "5.8S ribosomal RNA". The record is from RNAcentral. Lineage: Eukaryota; Fungi; Basidiomycota; Agaricomycetes; Agaricales; Tricholomataceae.